GAUGAACGCUGGCGGCGUGCCUAAUACAUGCAAGUCGAGCGGACGGACGAGAAGUUUGCUUCUCUGCUGUUAGCGGCGGACGGGUGAGUAAUACGAGGAUAACUUACCUAUAAGACUGACAUAACUUCGGGAAACCGGAUAUAACAUCGGAUAAUAUUUUGAACCGCAUGGUUCAAAAGUGAAAGACGGUCUUGCUGAGACUAAUAGAUGGAUCCGGGUUGCAUUAGCUAGUUGGUAAGGUAACGGCCUACCAAGGCGACGAUGCGUAACUGACCUGAGAGGGUGAUCAGGCACACUGGAACUGAGAAACGGUCCCGACUCCUACGGGAGGCAGCAGUGGGGAAUAUUGGACAAUGGGGGAAAGCCCGAACCAGCCAUGCCGCGUGUGUGAAGAAGGUCUUCGGAUUGUAAAACCCUUUAUGUUGGGAGAAAGGGCAGUAAGUUAAUACCUUGCUGUUUUGACGUUACCAAAAGAAUAAGCACCGGCUAACUUCGUG
RNAcentral lists this ribosomal RNA (497 nucleotides) under uncultured bacterium. RNAcentral describes it as "partial 16S ribosomal RNA". It matches the Rfam family "Bacterial small subunit ribosomal RNA", at positions 28 to 507 of the family's 1533-position model. The record is from RNAcentral.